UACGGGGGGGGCAAGCGUUGUUCGGAAUUACUGGGCGUAAAGCGCGUGUAGGCGGUUGCCCAAGUCGGGUGUGAAAGCCUUGAGCUCAACUCAAGAAAUGCACUCGGUACUGGGUGACUAGAAGACCGGAGAGGAUAGUGGAAUUCCCAGUGUAGUGGUGAAAUACGUAGAGAUUGGGAAGAACACCAGUGGCGAAGGCGGCUAUCUGGACGGUUUCUGACGCUAAGACGCGAAAGCGUGGGGAGCAAACAGG
RNAcentral lists this ribosomal RNA (253 nucleotides) under uncultured bacterium. Its description in RNAcentral is "partial 16S ribosomal RNA". It matches the Rfam family "Bacterial small subunit ribosomal RNA", at positions 524 to 776 of the family's 1533-position model. The record is from RNAcentral.